RNAcentral lists this ribosomal RNA (229 nucleotides) under uncultured bacterium. Its description in RNAcentral is "partial 16S ribosomal RNA". It matches the Rfam family "Bacterial small subunit ribosomal RNA", at positions 568 to 796 of the family's 1533-position model. The record is from RNAcentral.
UGCGUAGGCGGGCUAAUAAGUCAGUCGUGAAAUCUCUCGGCUCAACCGGGAAACUGCCAUUGAUACUGUUAGUCUUGAGUUCGGUUGAGGUAGGCGGAAUGUGUAAUGUAGCGGUGAAAUGCUUAGAUAUUACACAGAACACCAAUUGCGUAGGCAGCUUACUAGACCGACACUGACGCUGAGGCACGAAAGCGUGGGGAGCGAACAGGAUUAGAUACCCUGGUAGUCC